This 55-nucleotide transfer RNA is filed under the name Loxodonta africana (African savanna elephant). It matches the Rfam family "tRNA", at positions 10 to 63 of the family's 71-position model. Rfam says of the family: Transfer RNA (tRNA) molecules are approximately 80 nucleotides in length. The record is from Rfam by way of RNAcentral. Lineage: Eukaryota; Metazoa; Chordata; Mammalia; Proboscidea; Elephantidae.
ACAAAUGGUUAAUGUGUUUGGCUGCUAAUCAAAAGGUUGGAGGUUCGAAUCCACC